Molecule: ribosomal RNA, 889 nt
Filed under: uncultured eukaryote
Lineage: Eukaryota
Description: SSU rRNA
Rfam family: Eukaryotic small subunit ribosomal RNA
Source: RNAcentral
GUGCCAAGCAGCCGCGGUAAUUCCAGCUCCAAUAGCGUAUAUUAAAGUUGUUGCGGUUAAAAAGCUCGUAGUUGGAUCUCGGCGGGCAGGGGGUGGUUCGCUCUUCAGCGCUACUGCCCCGCUUUGCCCGUGUGAUUGGCGGAGGUUUCGGGGUGCUCUUCGUUGAGUGACUCGGAGCGCCGUCAGGUUUACUUUGAAAAAAUUAGAGUGCUCAAAGCAGGCUUUUCACGCUUGAAUAUUCGUGCAUGGAAUAAUGGAAUAGGAACUCGUUUCUAUUUUGUUGGUUUUCGGAAAUCGAGUUAAUGAUUAACAGGGACAAUUGGGGGCAUUAGUAUUCAGACGACAGAGGUGAAAUUCUUGGACCGUCUGAAGACUGACUACUGCGAAAGCAUUUGCCAAGAGUGUUUUCAUUAAUCAAGAACGAAAGUUAGAGGUUCGAAGGCGAUCAGAUACCGCCCUAGUUCUAACCAUAAACGAUGCCAGCUAGCGAUCUGCCGAGUUUUUUUUGUAGGCUCCGCAGGAAGCUUUCGGGAAACCAAAGCUUUUGGGUUCCGGGGGAAGUAUGGUUGCAAAGCUGAAACUUAAAGGAAUUGACGGAAGGGCACCACCAGGAGUGGAGCCUGCGGCUUAAUUUGACUCAACACGGGAAAUCUCACCAGGCCCGGACACUGGAAGGAUUGACAGAUUGAGAGCUCUUUCUCGAUUCGGUGGGUGGUGGUGCAUGGCCGUUCUUAGUUGGUGGAGUGAUUUGUCUGGUUAAUUCCGAUAACGAACGAGACUCUGUCCUGCUAAAUAGUUGGGUCGUCCUUCGUGCGAUCCAAGUUCUUCUUAGAGGGACUGGCUGCGUCUAGCAGCACGAGAUUGAGCAAUAACAGGUCUGUGAUGCCCA